Molecule: ribosomal RNA, 305 nt
Filed under: uncultured bacterium
Lineage: Bacteria
Description: bacterial SSU rRNA
Rfam family: Bacterial small subunit ribosomal RNA
Source: RNAcentral
GGCCCUACGGGGCGCAGCAGUGGGGAAUAUUGCACAAUGGGGGAAACCCUGAUGCAGCGACGCCGCGUGAGUGAAGAAGUAUUUCGGUAUGUAAAGCUCUAUCAGCAGGGAAGAAAAUGACGGUACCUGACUAAGAAGCCCCGGCUAACUCCGUGCCAGCAGCCGCGGUAAUACGGGGGGUGCAAGCGUUGUCCGGAAUCAUUGGGCGUAAAGCGUUCGUAGGCGGUAUGUCAAGUCUGAUGUUAAAGCCCGGGGCUCAACUCCGGUUCGGCAUUGGAUACUGGCAAACUAGAAUGUGGUAGAGG